This 530-nucleotide ribosomal RNA is filed under the name Rhizopus delemar. RNAcentral describes it as "eukaryotic LSU rRNA". The stretch from base 180 to 333 matches the Rfam family "5.8S ribosomal RNA". The record is from RNAcentral. Lineage: Eukaryota; Fungi; Mucoromycota; Mucoromycetes; Mucorales; Rhizopodaceae.
UUACCUCUUAGGGUUUCCUCUGGGGUAAGUGAUUGCUUCUACACUGUGAAAAUUUGGCUGAGAGACUCAGACUGGUCAUGGGUAGACCUAUCUGGGGUUUGAUCGAUGCCACUCCUGGUUUCAGGAGCACCCUUCAUAAUAAACCUAGAAAUUCAGUAUUAUAAAGUUUAAUAAAAAACAACUUUUAACAAUGGAUCUCUUGGUUCUCGCAUCGAUGAAGAACGUAGCAAAGUGCGAUAACUAGUGUGAAUUGCAUAUUCAGUGAAUCAUCGAGUCUUUGAACGCAGCUUGCACUCUAUGGUUUUUCUAUAGAGUACGCCUGCUUCAGUAUCAUCACAAACCCACACAUAACAUUUGUUUAUGUGGUAAUGGGUCGCAUCGCUGUUUUAUUACAGUGAGCACCUAAAAUGUGUGUGAUUUUCUGUCUGGCUUGCUAGGCAGGAAUAUUACGCUGGUCUCAGGAUCUUUUUCUUUGGUUCGCCCAGGAAGUAAAGUACAAGAGUAUAAUCCAGCAACUUUCAAACUAUGAU